UGAUGGCGGAUUUUCCACGGCGGAACC
This 27-nucleotide non-coding RNA is filed under the name Rattus norvegicus (Norway rat). The record is from RNAcentral. Lineage: Eukaryota; Metazoa; Chordata; Mammalia; Rodentia; Muridae.